This 253-nucleotide ribosomal RNA is filed under the name uncultured bacterium. Its description in RNAcentral is "partial 16S ribosomal RNA". It matches the Rfam family "Bacterial small subunit ribosomal RNA", at positions 524 to 776 of the family's 1533-position model. The record is from RNAcentral.
UACGUAGGGUGCAAGCGUUGUCCGGAAUUAUUGGGCGUAAAGAGCUCGUAGGUGGUCUGUCGCGUCGGCUGUGAAAACUCGGGGCUCAACUCCGAGCUUGCAGUCGAUACGGGCAGGCUAGAGUUCGGCAGGGGAGACUGGAAUUCCUGGUGUAGCGGUGAAAUGCGCAGAUAUCAGGAGGAACACCGGUGGCGAAGGCGGGUCUCUGGGCCGAUACUGACGCUGAGGAGCGAAAGCGUGGGGAGCGAACAGG